Long non-coding RNA from Anolis carolinensis (green anole), 2383 nucleotides. RefSeq lists it as uncharacterized. NCBI's taxonomy places the organism in Eukaryota, Metazoa, Chordata, Lepidosauria, Squamata, Anolidae. The record is from RefSeq and is a predicted model, not a curated record. The transcript has 2 exons.
UGUUGGUUGAGUCAUGAGCUGCUUGUUGGCCAAGUUCGACAGCAACUGUGCCUGUUGUGGAUUAUCUCGCUCAGUGGUAGGUGUCAGUGGAAUAAAUAGAUGUAUUUCAAGAGGAAAAGAAGCACUCUCAUAAACAGAUCUGAACACAACGGGGAGCAAAACGAUCAGCUGAGACCAGGUGAACCAUAGGAAGGUGUUCUUGAUGGCUGCUCUCCGACUGUACAACUCCUGUGUCCUGGAGGCAAUGCUGUGGCUGCUUGCUAUGAUCAGGAAGCCAUGUGAAUGCUUCUAAAACACCUCUCCAUGAGAGCAGCUAAACAUGGGGAGAACAAUCUAUGUAGCAGACCAUCUUAUGAUCCAGCCCCAUGUAGAAAAUCUUCACCAAGACCAUAGGCACCAACCCACUAUAAAGGGAUCUCAAAGUGACAAGACACGACAAAGAAAAUGUGUGUAUCUCAGAAAGACAAGAGACAAUGCUCAAAUCCUCACAUUUCUAACAAUGUGGCUGCAUAUUAAAGGCUAGGCUCACUUCCUUUAGGUACUGUUUAAGUAUGAGAAGGGAAAGAUCUAUAAGGAUAACAUAGUAUUUCAAGGCCAUUUUGAUUGAUAUGUCAUCUCCUGUGAAUUAAAGACCUUGUUUACAAAACUGUCUGAGUGAGAAAACCUGGCAUCUCAAGUGGUUCAGCAUCUCAAAAAAAAAAAAAAAAGCCUGACCAUGUAUGAAGAUUAGACAGGCGGCAGGGAGGAGAAAGGCUGCUUGUACGAUCCCAAAAGCAGGCCAAGCUAAAGCAAAAUAGCAGAGCUUGGAAGACUCCUGGCCGAGUUGGGCAUCCAUGCAAGAGUUGGCCUGAAAGGCUAGGAUGCCUUCCAGUGACACUGGAGCCAGAGAGAAACCAAAGCUUUCGCUGACCUUGGAACAAGGAUUGCAGCAGGCCGAACCAUUCUUCAAUAACUUCUCCAAUUAAUUUUGAAAAUGCAGUAGGAAAUGACCAUUUUUUUCUUUCUCCAUAAUUUAAAUAGAACAUUUAUUUGUUCCAAGCCCCUCUCUCUCUCUUUUAGAAGCUCAUUUUCUUUCCAGAUGAGACAUUAUAAUCUGCAGCAUCAACAUCAACAAUCUUAUGGAACCUUAAAGCUAACUAAUAUAUUAUGGCAUGAGCUGUUGCGGACCAGAGUCAACUUUAUUAGACAUGUUUGUCAUCUUCAGUAUGAAGUGUAUACAAGUACAGCUCUAUAGAGGUUAAGGCAAAUUGGCAAUGCAAAAAUCACACUCUAAGACAAAUCUAAAGCCUUAAAACAAAAUGAACACAGAGAAGAUUCCUAACAUCAGUAGUAGGUGCAAACACAAUCAUGUUAGUUCUUUCUCUUCAUGCUCAGAUGAAAAGAAUCAGCCUCAAUUCAGCUCUUUCAUGCUGGGGUUUCCAUUUUAAAUUCUUCUGCUGGAUGAGGGAAAUUUUCAGAUUACUUCAGUUUUUAAAACUGAAACGUUGCCCUGUUCUGUGGUUUUUUUAUUCUUGUUCUUUCUAAUGCCAAUUUAGGAUGCUUCAUUUAUGUAUGGAGAACUAUUAUUGGCAUGUAUAUUGAUAGAAUUACAUUUUUUUCUGUGUGACUUUUUCUUACUGAAUCGUGUAAAAAUGGCUCAACUGAUUAUCCUCAAAACUGAAAAACAUGUUUGGGAUGGUCUAAGCUGGCACAUAAUCUAUGCAGCGUAUGUAGUACACACAGAAUUCCCUUUGGAGAAGCCUGAAAUAUCCCAAUGUCAUUGAGGUUUUUUUUUUCUUGUUUAUACAUUCUAUAGAUUUAAAGGCCAAUUGGAGAAGCGCGGCCAGAUUUCCUGAAUCGCUAUAGGUUUCUUAAUUUACUUGUGGUUUAGUAUGAAAUAGAAAUAUGCAAAACUUUAGAUUGUGUGUUAUUUCUUUCCAUACAAAUUGGGAUGCGCGUUAUAACUUCAUUAAGGCACAGCUUUCAAUGCUUCCCCAAAGGAGAGAUUGCCUUCUUGAAGUCUCACCAUUAAACAUUCCCAUCAAAAUUAUGUUUUUUACAGGAAUUUGGCUAAAUUCUCAGUUACAAGGCUCAUUUUGCAGAGACACUAAUUAAUGGCCCACCACUUGGAAGUGAGGUGGAGUGGAAUAGGAUGACACCACGCAUUAUUCUGUUGGCAAGUACAUCAUUCUAGUAAUUAAUGUAGGUGUCUUUUAUAUAAAAAAAGAGAGAAUGGAUUAAGCAAUAUGGACAACAGAAGCUUAGCUGUUCCUAGUACUUAACAUAUUCCAUUGCUUUGCCUCUGCUUUGAAGCUCAUUUUCCAUCAAUGCUCUCACACAGCUGUCUUAAAUAUACAAAUGGAGUUUAUCAGUUGGAAAAGUAAAAGUUAUCAUCACAUCUGAA